AGCAGCCGCGGUAAUUCCAGCUCCAAUAGCGUAUAUUAAAGUUGUUGCAGUUAAAAAGCUCGUAGUUGAAUUUCGGGGUCAGUAGAUUGGUCAUGCCUCCGGUAUGCACUGGUCUUACUGGCUCCUCCUUCCUGAUGAACCGUAAUGCCAUUAAUUUGGUGUUGCGGGGAGACUGGACUGUUACUUUGAAAAAUUAGAGUGUUUAAAGCAGGCUAACGCUUGAAUACAUUAGCAUGGAAUAAUGAAAUAGGACGUUCGAUCUUAUUUGUUGGUUUCUAAGAUUGACGUAAUGAUUAAUAGGGAUAGGUUGGGG
This 313-nucleotide ribosomal RNA is filed under the name uncultured Glomus. RNAcentral's name for it is "SSU rRNA". It matches the Rfam family "Eukaryotic small subunit ribosomal RNA", at positions 569 to 888 of the family's 1831-position model. Lineage: Eukaryota; Fungi; Glomeromycota; Glomeromycetes; Glomerales; Glomeraceae. The record is from RNAcentral.